Zingiber officinale is the source of this 879-nucleotide long non-coding RNA. RefSeq lists it as uncharacterized. The transcript has 8 exons. The record is from RefSeq and is a predicted model, not a curated record. NCBI's taxonomy places the organism in Eukaryota, Viridiplantae, Streptophyta, Magnoliopsida, Zingiberales, Zingiberaceae.
CUUUCCCGAUCUCGUCCUCCUCACAUCGCGCCCAAAAUCCUUCUUCCCUCUCCGGCGAUUCCUCCUCGCCCGAUCGCCGGCCACCGUGAGUUCACCGCCGGCAGCGACUUUUCCAACGCGUAGCUCUCUUGGCUACCAAGUGGCUCGAUCCUCUUCUCCUCUCUCUCGAUUUCUCUCAUGCGCACGGGCGACCCGACGCCGACGGUUUCCCUGAUAGUUUCGGCCUCACCGCGUCGCCUGAGGAUUGUCGCCAGAAUUUUGAAGGGGCUGAUGCUGCCCAAGCCUUCCCCGGUGGAGUGAUCGCCUUCUCGACCAUUUUUGCGCUCGAUCGGUGGGAUCCGAUCUAGGGCACAACAAGCUCCACACUUGCUGGAUCAGAUCGGAACAACACCAUCUGGAGGCACUCGAUCAAGAGGAGGGGUUAGUUGGUACAGUGCUUAUGCGUCACUGUCUUGCUUCCAAUUCUCGAAGCUGUGGGAGUCUCGGCUUGGGAAAUUGAGACCUGGUUUAGGGUUCUUGGUAGAGGAUAGCAGAGGUUCUUGUGGGCUGUAAGCUUCAAAAAUUGUUGCCAAAGUACCAAGUGGCUUGCGGUGAGGAGAUCGGCCACAACUUCCAGCUGCGGUUCUUCAUCCGGGACUCAUUGGCCUUGUAGGAGCUCUUAUAUGUGGAUCUGCGACAGCGGGCGGUACCUGUGAGCUAGAGCCGGUGAUUUCAUCUCUCGACAGUGAGUCAACAGUGGGGAGUUUAGGUAAGGUCUUUGAUCAAGGCGGUUGACGUGACGAGAUUGACGUCGGAUUCAGCCUACAUUUACAAGCAGGUAGCUGAUAGCGAUGCUAGUACACUUGGAGGAGGAUCCCGACUGCCGGUCCCACGUCGCUU